AUCCCCCACAUGGUUGCCUUUAGGACAUUUAUUGCUGAGGAAUCCCCUUAGCAGUAGUGUCCGUCCCGAUGAUGAUCCUUAGGCUAGGUCCCUUAUGAUAGGUGUUUAGGGACGUAAAGUGAGGAUAACGGGAACGGGUAAUCGGGUUAUUGUUGAUUGAUGAAAUUAAUAAACUUAUUUAUUGUGGGUUGAAAACCCUAUGUGCUCACCAGGCUCCCAAGCCUGACCCACUCAGUUUUAUGUAUUACAGGUAGUGGCGCAUGAGCAUAGGUGUGAUGUUUUGGACGAGGGAUUACGGAUAUAGGCCUGUAGAUAUGAAAUAAUGUAGUAAGGCUUAUAUUGUACUGUUUAUGCUUUUGAUCUGUACGAACAUGACAUCCCGAGUCUUUUAAUGAAAUACAUUUCUAUGGAAAUGCUUUUGAUAAAUCUUUAUCAUAUUUUUGUUUUGGGACAAAUUCCGCAACACUUUCAUUUAAAAUGUAACUCUGAUUUUUAAACAAAGCAUAAACAAACCGGUCUUUUCUGGCCGUGAUUUUGGGGAUGUCACAGUUGGUAUCAGAGCAUUAGUUUAAGCGAACUAGGAAUUUGUAGGAUUUCUAGACUUAAACUUAGAAUGCUAAGCGAUGAUUGUGAGGUGUGAGCACUAGCUUAUUUUAGGAAUUGUGCCUAAAAUGCUUUUAUGUGCUAAAUGCUUUGUGCAUAAUAUGCUGUUAAUUGUUCGGAUCUAUGGUCUGUUGCCGACCGGAUCUGGAAACCUUAUGUGUUUAGGAUUCUAAACGUACGACUACGAUAUUAGAACUAGCAUGUAAACGUUUCGGAGUGAUAAGGACGAUUUAAAACGUCUAUCCUAAAUAAAGAUCUAAAUUCACCUUAUUCGGUGUAUAGAUCAAGAUGGCAAGGACCCGUAGCGGAAACGUGAACGCAAAUGGAGGUAGGAACCAACCCCCAGUGGUUCAGCAAAUACCUGUUGUUGAAGAAGUUGCACCUGAGCCAGUCACCAUGGCUGGAGUUCAAGCCAUGAUUCAGGCUAUGCUAGCUGAACAAAGGGAAGAAAUGAGACGGAUGCUCCACGAAAAUAGGGACGAACCUACCAUACAUGUUGAACCGACGGAGCCAGUUCCCGAGCCAUCUGAGGAAGGGAACUAUAGCCGCCAAGUGAGUCAAGUAGGGACUCAAGGUGAGCAAAAGGAUGGCCCAGAAGGGAGAAACAACAAGGAUGGGCGGAUGUACAAAAAUUUCUUGGGUGCGAAACCACCAAGUCUCUCAGGAAGCCCAAAGCCUGUUGAGAUUAUGGACUGGAUCUCCGAGAUGGAGAUGGUGUUUGAGAGCUGCGACUGCAGCGAGAAGCAGAAGACUGUCUUCGCUGUGAGACAAUUGAAAACUGGAGUCUUGAGCUGGUGGAAGCUAUUGGCAGAUACAAUGCCACGGGGAGAAGCUCUGAAAAUGUCAUGGGAUGAGUUCUUGGAACAACUGAAGGCGCAGUACUGUUCAGAGAUAGACCUGAUUGAUCUGAACAAUGAGUUCCAAAAUUUGAAGAAGGGGAGAAUGAGCAUCGAUGACUAUGCUGCUGCAUUUACGGAAAAGAUGAAGUUGUUUCCAUACCUAGUGCCAACCGAACUUUCCAAAAUUGAGAAAUUCGCAAACGGACUGCCGGCUGACUUUGGCCCAACAGUCAAGAUGGCAACCACUCUGAAAUCAGCUGUUCGAGCAGCUAAGAACGUGGAGACCCAACAAAAGGAAAGAGGUCUGGAGAGGGCUGAGGUUGGUGAGAAACGGAAGUUCAAUGGAUCCUCGAAGUCCAACAAGAAGAGUAGAUUCUCGAAGUCUGGUUCGAGGGGAGGAGGAUCAGAAGCGAAGUGGUGUGACAAGUGCAAGAAGAAGCACUCUGGGAAGUGUGACGGAGGGGUCACUUGUUACAAGUGCGGAAAGCCUGGGCACUACGCCAAUGAAUGCACCCUCAACCAGAAAGCCUGUUAUGGGUGCAAUGAAGAAGGGCACAUUUUGAAGGACUGCCCGAAGAAGAAGGAGACAGGAAGACCCAACAUACCACCGAAGCCGAAGGCGAGAGCCUUCCAGAUGACGCUCGAGGCUGCAAAGGAGGCAGCAGACGUCGCUUCAGGUACCUUUCUUGUAAAUGGUUUGCCUGCAAAUAUACUAUUUGAUUCCGGAGCCAACUACUCCUUUGUGUCGCAUAAAUUUGGUGGGAAAUUAGCAUUGCCUGUAGAAAAACUAGAUAAUGCCCUGAUUGUAGAAGUUGCCAGUGGCAAAUUCGUACCUGUUAGUAAUCGUAUUAGGAACAUCGUCAUUGACCUAAACGGAAACGAAUUCCACGAAGAGCUAUUACCCAUAGAGUUAAACGGUUUCGACAUCGUUUUGGGUAUGGAUUGGCUUAGCGCCAACGAUGCUGAGAUUCAAUGCCGAAAGAAGAUAGUAAAGGUAAACCCACCCGGAAAAGAAUCAUUUAUGGUGUAUGGGGACAAACGCAGAGUGAAUUCUGGAAUCAUCUCCCUGAUGAAAGCCAGGAAAUGUUUGUCCAAAGGAUGUGCAUCAUACUUGGCAUUCGUAAUCGAUGCCAAGAAGGAGAAGAAAGAGGUGCAGAAUAUACCGGUUGUGUGUGAUUAUCCGGAAGUCUUUCCCGAAGAUCUUCCCGGAUUACCACCUGAUAGGCAAGUGGAGUUUCGUAUAGACUUGUUACCAGGAACAACACCGAUAGCAAAGGCACCUUACCGAUUAGCACCGACGGAGAUGAAGGAGCUCAUGACGCAACUUCAGGAGCUGUUGGACAACGGUUUUAUUCGACCUAGUUCAUCACCCUGGGGAGCUCCGGUGUUAUUCGUGAAGAAGAAGGACGGAAGUAUGAGAAUGUGUAUAGACUACCGAGAGCUGAAUAAGGCAACGGUGAAGAACAAGUAUCCAUUGCCGAGGAUUGAUGACCUAUUCGAUCAGCUGCAAGGUUCGAGCUACUUCUCAAAGAUCGAUCUUAGGUCAGGAUAUCAUCAGCUAAAGGUGAGAAAGCAGGAUAUUGAGAAGACUGCAUUCAGAACGAGAUAUGGACACUACGAGUUCUUGGUUAUGUCAUUCGGGCUAACCAAUGCUCCCGCAGCAUUCAUGGAUUUGAUGAAUAGGGUUUGUAAACCAUUCCUCGAUAAAUCCGUGAUAGUGUUCAUCGACGACAUUCUCAUCUACUCGAAAAGCCAAGAGGAGCAUGGCAAGCAUCUACGGGAAGUAUUAGAAGUGUUGAAGAAGGAGAAGCUUUUUGCAAAGUUCUCCAAAUGCGACUUUUGGAUACGGGAAGUCCAAUUCUUGGGUCAUGUUGUUAACCAGGAGGGAAUAAUGGUUGACCCCGCAAAGAUCGAGGCUGUAAUGAAGUGGGAACGUCCAAAGAGUCCCACGGAGAUUCGAAGCUUUCUAGGAUUAGCCGGAUAUUAUCGACGAUUUAUCCAAGGCUUUUCUUCGAUAGCUGCUCCAUUAACAGCUUUGACUCAUAAAGGAGCUACGUAUACGUGGAGUGAGAAACACGAUGAGGCAUUCGAGAAGCUAAAGAAGAAGUUAUGUGAAGCACCGAUACUUUCUCUACCCGAUGGAGUCGAAGAUUUCGCGGUUUAUAGUGACGCUUCUGGAGUCGGGUUGGGUUGUGUUCUGACCCAAAGAGAAAAGGUGAUAGCAUACGCAUCUCGACAAUUGAAAGAGCACGAAAAGAACUACCCCACUCAUGAUCUGGAGUUGGCAGCGGUAGUUUUUGCCUUAAAGAUAUGGAGGCAUUACCUCUACGGCACGAAGUGCAAGCUCUUCACUGAUCAUAAGAGUCUCCAGUAUCUCUUUAAUCAGAAGGAGUUGAACAUGAGGCAACGACGCUGGCUAGAACUUCUCAAGGACUACGACUGUGAGAUACUUUACCACCCAGGUAAAGCAAAUAUUGUUGCUGAUGCUCUCAGUCGGAAAGUCAAUCUGGAAAGGAAAAGGCCAAGAGCGUUAAGAAUUGAAGUCGUCUCGACGAUUGUGGAAAGUAUCAGGAAAGCUCAAGAAGAAGCUUUAGAGAAAAAUGACCGAAAGGAAGAACGUUUGGGAAGAACGUUAGUGUUUGGUACAAACAGUCGAGGACUGAAGGUAUUCCAAGAUCGAAUUUGGGUACCUAAGACGGGAGGAAUAAGAGAUCUUCUGAUGGAAGAAGCACACAAGACCAUGUACUCGAUUCAUCCCGGUAGCACUAAAAUGUAUAGGGACCUAAAACCCUACUACUGGUGGCCGACGAUGAAGCUCGAUGUUGCGAAGUAUGUGGCCGAGUGCGUAACAUGUGCGAGGGUUAAGGCACAACAUCAGAAACCGUAUGGGAGUUUAGAACCUUUACCUGUACCCAUGGGUAAAUGGGAAGACAUCACCAUGGAUUUUGUGACUAAACUGCCCAGGACGAAGAACGGUCACGACAUGAUUUGGGUAGUCGUGGAUCGUUUCACCAAGAGUGCACACUUCAUAGCAGCCAACGAGAAGUGGUCUAUGGAUAAGCUCGCAAAUGCUUACGUGAAGGAAAUUGUAAGACUUCACGGUGUCCCUCUUACGAUUGUAUCAGAUCGUGAUAGUCGUUUCACGUCAAGGUUUUGGAGGAGUCUACAAGAGGAGUUAGGUACAAAGUUGUGUUUGAGUACUGCUUAUCAUCCGCAAACUGAUGGUCAGAGCGAAAGAACGAUUCAGACGCUGGAAGAUAUGCUGAGAGCAUGUACCCUCGAAUUCCAAGGGAAUUGGGACGAGCACUUACCUCUGGUAGAAUUUUCCUACAACAAUAGUUUUCACUCGAGCAUCAAGAUGGCUCCUUAUCAAGCCUUGUAUGGGCAGAAGUGUCGUACGCCGUCUUGUUGGCUUGAAGCCGGAGAGAAGCAGUUUAUGGGCCCCGAGAUAGUCCAUGAGACUGCUGAGAAGUUGAAGGUGAUUAGGGAAAGGAUGUUAGCAGCCCAGGAUCGUCAGAAGAGCUAUGCUGACAAGAAAAGACGACCGAUAACUUUCGAAGUUGGGGAUUCCGUUUUGCUUAAAGUCUCACCGUGGAAGGGACUUAUACGAUUUGGGAAACGAGGAAAGUUGAGUCCAAGGUUUAUUGGACCGUUCAAAGUUCUUCAGAAGAUAGGGAACCAAGCUUACAAGCUGGAAUUGCCCGAAGAACUCAAUGGUAUUCAUAACACCUUCCAUGUGUGUUAUUUGAGGAAAUUCACGGGAGAUGUUCCCGACAUAAUUCCAAUCUCAGAGUUAAGGAUGGAUGAAAAUAAAAGGUUGAUCGAAGAGCCUGAGGCAAUUGUUGACCGUAAGACUAAGAAGUUACGACGCAAGAUGGUCGACUUGGUGCUAGUCCGAUGGAAACAUUCGAAUGGGCCGAAUCUCACUUGGGAAACAGAGGAUGACAUGAUGAGUCGCUAUCCACAUCUGUUUGCUGAUGCAUGAUUCCGGGACGGAAUCAUCCUAAGGGGGAGAGAAUUGUAACGCCCGGGUUUCAGGGCUAAGCAUUUUUGUCAAUGUAAUAGUCUAGGUCAACUCUUGUAACUCUUUUUGAAGUAAUAAAGAUGAAAUAUUUGAGUAUUAUGUGAAUUAUAUGUGUUUAUUAUUUAAUUAUAAAUGUAUAAUUAAUAAAGAAUAAAAAUGAGCGUCAAAAUUAAAGUGUGAGAUAAUCCCGAUAUCUCUACAUAAAGUUGUAGAAUAUGUCUCAAGGUUUCCGUGCAUAUAAGGAACGCCGAAAUCCGAGUUAUAACGAAGAAGUUAUGACCCGUCGAAGUUUCACGACAGAACCGGCACGAUACCGGGAAGCGUGAAUAGUGAAUUUACGAUAGAGCGAGAUUUAGCCUUAGUGAUCUAAACGAAAGUCGUAGAAUAUGUUAAACUAAGAACAUCGAUAAAAAGAACGCCCAAAUCUGACUUCGUAUGAAGAAGUUAUGAGAUUUUAAACAGACCAAUCCUGUCCCGGCUUGUUAAAAAUAUAACUUUAAAAAUAAAGUCAAAAUUAGCCGACGGAGUCUAAACGAAAGUUGUAGAGUACGUCUUCACCUACGCGUGGAUAUAAAGAACGUCAAAAACGGAGUUCGUAUGAACGAGUUACAAAUUAUAAUAGCAUAUUUACGUAUUAAAAUAAAGUAUAAAUCAUGUAUACGUACACAUAUAUAUACAUAUGUAUAUAUCAUUAGAAAGGUAUCGACGAUGCGGUCAUUAUAAGACUAAUGUUGAGUUCUUUCGACAUUAGUUUAGUACAAAUAUCAUUAAAUCCAUUUAUAAUAGUAUUAUAGAGGGGUGUUUAGUUGUUUAUAUAACUAAAAGGUCAUUAAGUAAUUAUGGAGGGUAGUUUUUGAAAAUUCAAUUAGUAUAAAUAAGAGCCUUGGGCUCUCAUAUUUCUUGCACCAUUCUCUUGAUUCAAGAGUCUUUCUCUCCUUAUCCCCCGAGCAUUUCGGUCCCUCGUGAUUCGACUUCUCUUUCUGUAGCUUAGUAUAGUAAGGUGAGCGCUGAAGCGCUGCACGAAUCUUUCUUAGAAAGAUUCAGCGACGAAGUUCUGCCCCUGCAGAGCCCGACUCCUAGCUAAAACCCCCUUGUAAGUAAGUUAUGCUUACCUUAUUUUAAUAUAGCUUAUAUUUAAAAUUAGUAUUGUUAUUAUGAACUUAUAAUAAAUAUUUGAGCUAUUAUUAUAACUUAUAUAAGUGUCGUUAUAAUAUUUUUUUUAACUACUCGCGGUACGGGGAAUCUGGUUUAAAGGGCCGCAUAGGGUUGUUGGAUUUCAGAAGUGCUAUAUGCCAAAAUGGUCCUGCCCUCCGGUGUUUUAUGUCUGGCCCCUGUCUGUACAUAGUGGUUGGAAAAUAUUGUUUAACGCUUAUAUAAUAAUAAUAAUACUAAGACUAAUAGUUGGUCACGGUAAAUAUUAGACUAAAAUUUAGCGAUAAUAAUGCUAGGUUUCGUCGAAGGAAAAUAGAAUCGUUAGAAGCAAGCGCUGCCCGAUUUUGGAAUCAUCACCUUAACAAGUGAGUGCAUAGUUACUUUCAACUUACACAUAGAUAUGAAGUAUUUUAUAUAAAUUACGUGCUAUGUGUGCAUAUUAUCUGAAUACUUGCUAUCUAUGCUAGAUGAACGUUGUUAUACAUGUUUUCAAUGAUUUAAACUGUAUAUGUAUUUUAUAUCUACGAAAAUGUUGGGGUAAAACAUGGGUAGAUGCAAUAGGUGAUGUGUGAUAAAAUGAUGAGAGGCCUCGAUGUUGAUGUUGUUGAUUCUGUCAUCUAGCGGAGUAUGGAUGACGACCACGGACUCUUCUAGACAGUCCAGUGGAACACUAGCAGGCUCGCAACCUGUAGGUGUUUGUGAACGAUAUGUUCACCGGUGUACUCCAUCCCCCACAUGGUUGCCUUUAGGACAUUUAUUGCUGAGGAAUCCCCUUAGUAGUAGUGUCCGUCCCGAUGAUGAUCCUUAGGCUAGGUCCCUUAUGAUAGGUGUUUAGGGACGUAAAGUGAGGAUAACGGGAACGGGUAAUUGGGUUAUUGUUGAUUGAUGAAAUUAAUAAACUUAUUUAUUGUGGGUUGAAAACCCUAUGUGCUCACCAGGCUCCCAAGCCUGACCCACUCAGUUUUAUGUAUUACAGGUAGUGGCGCAUGAGCAUAGGUGUGAUGUUUUGGACGAGGGAUUACGGAUAUAGGCCUGUAGAUAUGAAAUAAUGUAGUAAGGCUUAUAUUGUACUGUUUAUGCUUUUGAUCUGUACGAACAUGACAUCCCAAGUCUUUUAAUGAAAUACAUUUCUAUGGAAAUGCUUUUGAUAAAUCUUUAUCAUAUAUUUGUUUUGGGACAAAUUCCGCAACACUUUCAUUUAAAAUGUAACUCUGAUUUUUAAACAAAGCAUAAACAAACCGGUCUUUUCUGGCCGUGAUUUUGGGG
This 7884-nucleotide long non-coding RNA is filed under the name Lactuca sativa (garden lettuce). RNAcentral describes it as "long non-coding RNA (LSAT_LNC008238)". Lineage: Eukaryota; Viridiplantae; Streptophyta; Magnoliopsida; Asterales; Asteraceae. The record is from RNAcentral.